GAUGAACGCUGACAGAAUGCUUAACACAUGCAAGUCGAUGGGGAAGUGGUGCUUGCACCCUGGCAACCCUGGCGGACGGGUGAGUAACGCGUAAGGGACUUACCUGCAGGACUGGGAUAACAGGGGGAAACUCCUGACAAGACCGGAUAAUGUCAUGGAGCUGCAUGGCUUUAUGAUGAAAGGAGACGCCUGCGGAGAGCCUUGCGUCCUAUUAGCUAGUUGGUGAGGUAAUGGCUCACCAAGGCGAAGAUAGGUAGCCGGCCUGAGAGGGUGGACGGCCACAAGGGGACUGAGAUACGGCCCUUACUCCUACGGGAGGCAGCAGUGGGGAAUAUUGGACAAUGGGGGCAACCCUGAUCCAGCAAUUCUGUGUGAACGAAGAAGGUUUUCGGAUUGUAAAGUGCUUUCAGCAGGGAAGAAGUAAGUGACGGUACCUGCAGAAGAAGCGACGGCUAAAUACGUG
This 463-nucleotide ribosomal RNA is filed under the name uncultured bacterium. Its description in RNAcentral is "partial 16S ribosomal RNA". It matches the Rfam family "Bacterial small subunit ribosomal RNA", at positions 28 to 507 of the family's 1533-position model. The record is from RNAcentral.